Molecule: unclassified non-coding RNA, 292 nt
Filed under: uncultured Agaricales
Lineage: Eukaryota; Fungi; Basidiomycota; Agaricomycetes; Agaricales
Description: sequence contains ITS2
Rfam family: 5.8S ribosomal RNA (bases 1-52)
Source: RNAcentral
AACGCACCUUGCGCUCCUUGGUAUUCCGAGGAGCAUGCCUGUUUGAGUGUCAUUAACUUCUCAACUAUACAAGUUUUUACAACCUGUAUAGCUUGGAUCUUGGGAUCUGCGGGCUUUUUACAAAAGUCGGCUAUCCUUAAAUGCAUUAGCAGAGCUUUUGUCGCUAACCUCUGGUGUGAUAAUUAUCUACGCCAUUGAGAGGCAACAUCUUAAAGCUAAGCUUCUAAUCGUCCUUUGGGACAACAUUUGACAAUCUGACCUCAAAUCAGGUAGGACUACCCGCUGAACUUAA